Molecule: ribosomal RNA, 518 nt
Filed under: uncultured Sphingobacterium sp.
Lineage: Bacteria; Pseudomonadati; Bacteroidota; Sphingobacteriia; Sphingobacteriales; Sphingobacteriaceae
Also listed under: 1 other name
Description: bacterial SSU rRNA
Rfam family: Bacterial small subunit ribosomal RNA
Source: RNAcentral
GAGUUUGAUCAUGGCUCAGGAUGAACGCUAGCGGCAGGCUUAAUACAUGCAAGUCGAGGGGUAACAUGGGUAGCAAUACCUGAUGACGACCGGCAAACGGGUGCGGAACACGUACGCAACCUUCCCAUAACUGGUGAAUAGCCCUCCGAAAGGAGGAUUAAUACACCGUAACAUAAUGAAGUGGCAUCGCUUUAUUAUUAUAGUCUUCGGACGGUUUUGGAUGGGCGUGCGCCUAAUUAGGUAGUUGGCGGGGUAACGGCCCACCAAGCCUGCGAUCAGUAACUGGUGUGAGAGCACGACCAGUCACACGGGCACUGAGACACGGGCCCGACUCCUACGGGAGGCAGCAGUAAGGAAUAUUGGUCAAUGGACGAAAGUCUGACCCAGCCAUGCCGCGUGAAGGAUGAAGGCGUUCUGCGUUGUAAACUUCUUUUAUCAGGGAAGAAAUUAUGGUUUUUACUGUAACCGACGGUACCUGAGGAAUAAGCACCGGCUAACUCCGUGCCAGCCGCCGCGGU